Molecule: ribosomal RNA, 432 nt
Filed under: uncultured bacterium
Lineage: Bacteria
Description: partial 16S ribosomal RNA
Rfam family: Bacterial small subunit ribosomal RNA
Source: RNAcentral
AACGAACGCUGGCGGCAUGCCUAACACAUGCCAGUCGAACGAGACCUUCGGGUCUAGUGGCGCACGGGUGCGUAACGCGUGGGAACCUGCCCUUAGGUUCGGAAUAACUCCCCGAAAGGGGUGCUAAUACCGGAUAAUGUCUUCGGACCAAAGAUUUAUCGCCUUUGGAUGGGCCCGCGUUGGAUUAGCUAGUUGGUAGGGUAAAAGCCUACCAAGGCGACGAUCCAUAGCUGGUCUGAGAGGAUGAUCAGCCACACUGGGACUGAGUCACGGCCCAGACUCCUACGGGAGGCAGCAGUGGGGAAUAUUGGACAAUGGGCGAAAGCCUGAUCCAGCAAUGCCGCGUGAGUGAUGAAGGCCUUAGGGUUGUAAAGCUCUUUUACCCGGGAUGAUAAUGACAGUACCGGGAGAAUAAGCUCCGGCUAACUCCGU